GGUGAGUAACACGUGGAUAACCUACCUAUAAGACUGGGAUAACUUCGGGAAACCGGAGCUAAUACCGGAUAAUAUAUUGAACCGCAUGGUUCAAUAGUGAAAGACGGUUUUGCUGUCACUUAUAGAUGGAUCCGCGCCGCAUUAGCUAGUUGGUAAGGUAACGGCUUACCAAGGCAACGAUGCGUAGCCGACCUGAGAGGGUGAUCGGCCACACUGGAACUGAGACACGGUCCAGACUCCUACGGGAGGCAGCAGUAGGGAAUCUUCCGCAAUGGGCGAAAGCCUGACGGAGCAACGCCGCGUGAGUGAUGAAGGUCUUCGGAUCGUAAAACUCUGUUAUUAGGGAAGAACAAAUGUGUAAGUAACUAUGCACGUCUUGACGGUACCUAAUCAGAAAGCCACGGCUAACUACGUGCCAGCAGCCGCGGUAAUACGUAGGUGGCAAGCGUUAUCCGGAAUUAUUGGGCGUAAAGCGCGCGUAGGCGGUUUUUUAAGUCUGAUGUGAAAGCCCACGGCUCAACCGUGGAGGGUCAUUGGAAACUGGAAAACUUGAGUGCAGAAGAGGAGAGUGGAAUUCCAUGUGUAGCGGUGAAAUGCGCAGAGAUAUGGAGGAACACCAGUGGCGAAGGCGACUUUCUGGUCUGUAACUGACGCUGAUGUGCGAAAGCGUGGGGAUCAAACAGGAUUAGAUACCCUGGUAGUCCACGCCGUAAACGAUGAGUGCUAAGUGUUAGGGGGUUUCCGCCCCUUAGUGCUGCAGCUAACGCAUUAAGCACUCCGCCUGGGGAGUA
Molecule: ribosomal RNA, 791 nt
Filed under: Staphylococcus sp.
Lineage: Bacteria; Bacillati; Bacillota; Bacilli; Caryophanales; Staphylococcaceae
Description: bacterial SSU rRNA
Rfam family: Bacterial small subunit ribosomal RNA
Source: RNAcentral